Long non-coding RNA from Otolemur garnettii (small-eared galago), 248 nucleotides. RefSeq lists it as uncharacterized. Lineage: Eukaryota; Metazoa; Chordata; Mammalia; Primates; Galagidae. The record is from RefSeq and is a predicted model, not a curated record. The transcript has 3 exons.
GCGGGCAGCAGCCUUGAGAAGAAAAGCCCCAUGUGUGGCGUCUGCCUGUUCUUAUGAUGUAAAUAUUUCCACCGUAAGUGAUUUCAAGCUACCAACUCACUGUGUGGUCAGGAAGAGAGUGCACAAUUGGCUGGAUGAGGGAAGAAGAGAGAGAGAGGCCACUUUCCUGAUGUGAGCAGGGAGCUGGGCGAGACCAAAUUAAACCAUAUGCUGCCACUCGGUUAGUUAUCAUCUUCACUGUUAUCUCC